This 1238-nucleotide long non-coding RNA is filed under the name Heterocephalus glaber (naked mole-rat). Its description in RNAcentral is "lncRNA (ENSHGLG00100034680.1)". The record is from RNAcentral. Lineage: Eukaryota; Metazoa; Chordata; Mammalia; Rodentia; Bathyergidae.
CCACAGAGUCAUGUGUGGAAGAGUGCAAAAGGUCUGUUUGUGUGCUAGAGAUUCGAAGAGUCCAGUGGAAAGUGUGAAGUCCAUUGUACUGUGCAUGAGUCUGUUAUCAGAAGGCAAAAGGAUCUUUAAUAGAAGGCUGAAGAGUCCGUGCUGGAAACCAGGAGACAACGUCCAAGAUGAAGGUGAACACUGGAGCCCCUCUGAAGAAACAAAAAAAGUGAGAGUUUCUCAUGCACAGAAUGUGCAUUAGUGGUGAUGGAAUUUCUUCUAGGAGACAGAGAAACCCACAGUAAUGGAUUAAAAGAGUGCAAUUUUGAAGAAAAGAGGGAAGAUGGGAGAAGUGAAUAGUCAGCUAUAUUCAUGGUGUUGAAGAAAGAAUUUGGUUUGCUGGGAUACAGCCUGUGAUAACAGAACAAGGCCUGGAAAGAAACAGGUUAUGUCUGGCUGGAGAGUGAUUGGCAUUAACAAGGAAUAUUACCACAUAGGUUAAGAUCUGGCCAUGGAGUUCAAGCUGGCCUUGGACUGACUGUAUAAUCAUAGGCUGGCCUCCAACUCACAGCAAUCCUCCUGUCUCAGCCUCUCAAGCACUGGAUUACAGGAAUGUGCCACCAUGCUCAGCGAAUUUUCUGUUUUUAUCCAAGUUUUCAGUUUGAUUUAUUUUAUCUACCUCCUCAACAUUGCUUUCUAACUCUUUUUUCUCUUAUAUUAAGCUCUUUUCUUUCCCUCAUUGGUUCUUUUUUUCUUUUUUAAAUUAGCAUCACUGAUGUUUCCUGUAGAUUCAUUUUUUUUAAGUCUUUUAUUUGUUUUUCAUUCAGUUUGUUUUCUAUUCCUUGCAUGUUUUCUGUUUUUCCCAAAUUGUUGUUUUUAUUUUCUUCUCUUAUAUAACUUUUUUACAAUGUUUAAUGAGCUUUCAUUAUAUGCUUAGAUUUUAAAUGUAGGCCACUAAAAAAGCAUGCACAUGUUUGUACAACUUGGUAUGAAUAAAUAUGUUACUGUGGAAAAAAUCUAGCUGGCUGAUGCCUCAGAUCAUCCCUGAUACAGGAAACUAGAAUUAUUUUUCUUUUCUCUUUGGUCUGGUUAAACUUCUAUAAGGAUUUCUGGUCUUUCUCCUGAAGGUUAAAUGUUUGGCAGCUUAAGAUCCCUGGGUAGUUACCAACCAGGAGCUUUCAAACUACCAUAUUUCCUUUAUGUUUUUUAGUUGAUAUCUUUAAAAUAUUUUUAUUAUUAUUAUAGUGAUG